AAAAAAUCCAAAACUAUUCUAAAUAUAUAAUUGUUUGAAUUACUUACAAUAAAUUUUAAAGUCAGUUUUAAAACCAUAUUUAACUUAGAAUUUUUUGGAAUUUAAUAUAACAUUUCUGUAUUUUAGAAAGCGCACUGAUUUUCACACACAUUUUUUAAAAAAUAUUAUGUAAAUGUGAAUGUAUAUAAAUUUCUAUUACUUUCUUUUUUACAAUUUAAAGAGUGUGAGUUUUUACAUUUGUCUCUAGAUAUAAUAAGAUGGAACUUUUCAAAGAUGAAAACUGAUCCUGCAGUUAUUGCUGUUGUGAAGCAGAGGCAUUCCAAAGACCUUUCCCUAAGUGCAAUUGCAAAAUUUGUUGGAAAAUCAAAGUCUACCAUUCAAUACAUGAUUAAAAAUGAUUUUAACAGAAAGAAAAACUACAAGCCAACAAAUAAAAUUUUCUUUAAACAUGAUGUGAAGUGGCAUAUGCUCAACUUAAAGAGACAAACCAAAGAGUUACUGCAAAAGCAUUGAAAGCAGAAGAUGCACUUCUUUGCUCUGUGUGGGCAAUCCAAAAGCAACUCUGUUGACAAAAGUUCUGUUAUGGAAAAAGUAGACAAAGAAAUUCCUCUGAUCAAGAUGCAGCCUGCAGAACAUGUUUGUUAUUGCUAUAAGUGAAUUACUUCAUUUCAUCCCUAGUCCAGAUGAAAAGCUUAUUCAAUCAUUCCUUCAUUUCAGUAAUUUUUAUUUUGAUUUUUUUUUAUAAAUUUUUGAAUUUAUAUCCAGAAAAAACUGAACAUAUACAAAAAUCAUCAUCUCU
This 799-nucleotide long non-coding RNA is filed under the name Androctonus crassicauda. The record is from RNAcentral. Lineage: Eukaryota; Metazoa; Arthropoda; Arachnida; Scorpiones; Buthidae.